Molecule: unclassified non-coding RNA, 117 nt
Organism: Macaca mulatta (Rhesus monkey)
Lineage: Eukaryota; Metazoa; Chordata; Mammalia; Primates; Cercopithecidae
Rfam family: Metazoan signal recognition particle RNA
About the family: The signal recognition particle (SRP) is a universally conserved ribonucleoprotein.
Source: Ensembl
GCUGGGCAUGGUGGCUCAUGCCUGUAAUCCCAGCACUUUGGGAGGCUGAGGCGGGUGGGUCACCUGAGGUCAGGAGUUUGAGACCAGCCUGACCAACAUGGUGAAACCCCAUCUCUA